RNAcentral lists this ribosomal RNA (324 nucleotides) under uncultured bacterium. RNAcentral's name for it is "bacterial SSU rRNA". It matches the Rfam family "Bacterial small subunit ribosomal RNA", at positions 28 to 334 of the family's 1533-position model. The record is from RNAcentral.
GAUGAACGCUGGCGGCGUGCUUAACACAUGCAAGUCGAACGAAGCACCAUGGAUAGAUUCUUCGGAUGAUAGAAAUGGUGACUGAGUGGCGGACGGGUGAGUAACGCGUGGGUAACCUGCCUCAUACAGGGGGAUAACAGUUAGAAAUGACUGCUAAUACCGCAUAAUGUGUUUUGGGGGCAUCCCUGAAACACCAAAGAUUUAUCGCUGAAAGAUGGGCUCGCGUCUGAUUAGCUAGUUGGUGGGGUAACGGCCUACCAAGGCGACGAUCAGUAGCCGGUCUGAGAGGAUGAACGGCCACAUUGGGACUGAGAUACGGCCCAG